CAGCCGCCGCGGUAAUACGGAGGGCGCGAGCGUUGUCCGGAAUUAUUGGGCGUAAAGCGCGCGCAGGCGGUCCUUUAAGUCUGAUGUGAAAGCCCACGGCUCAACCGUGGAGGGUCAUUGGAAACUGGGGGACUUGAGUGCAGGAGAGGAGAGCGGAAUUCCACGUGUAGCGGUGAAAUGCGUAGAGAUGUGGAGGAACACCAGUGGCGAAGGCGGCUCUCUGGCCUGUAACUGACGCUGAGGCGCGAAAGCGUGGGGAGCAAACAGGAUUAGAUACCCUGGUAGUCCACGCCGUAAACGAUGAGUGCUAAGUGUUAGAGGGGUCACACCCUUUAGUGCUGCAGCUAACGCGAUAAGCACUCCGCCUGGGGAGUACGGCCGCAAGGCUGAAACUUAAAGGAAUUGGCGGG
This 410-nucleotide ribosomal RNA is filed under the name uncultured microorganism. RNAcentral describes it as "bacterial SSU rRNA". It matches the Rfam family "Bacterial small subunit ribosomal RNA", at positions 509 to 917 of the family's 1533-position model. The record is from RNAcentral.